RNAcentral lists this ribosomal RNA (261 nucleotides) under uncultured bacterium. RNAcentral describes it as "partial 16S ribosomal RNA". It matches the Rfam family "Bacterial small subunit ribosomal RNA", at positions 524 to 784 of the family's 1533-position model. The record is from RNAcentral.
UACGAAGGGGGCUAGCGUUGUUCGGAAUCACUGGGCGUAAAGGGCGCGUAGGCGGCUUUGUAAGUCGGGGGUGAAAGCCUGUGGCUCAACCACAGAAUUGCCUUCGAUACUGCAUGGCUUGAGACCGGAAGAGGUAAGUGGAACUGCGAGUGUAGAGGUGAAAUUCGUAGAUAUUCGCAAGAACACCAGUGGCGAAGGCGGCUUACUGGUCCGGUUCUGACGCUGAGGCGCGAAAGCGUGGGGAGCAAACAGGAUUAGAAA